GGAAUGCUGGACAUUACACAACUUGGGAUCCUGCAGGCAGGACUAAACAAUUGCUGCUGGACUUCACUGUUUUCACCUCCUUUGCUUGGAAUAUGCUGAUAUUUUAGUGCAAUGCUUGAGCUAACUACUGUAGAGCCUGAGAGGAUGAAAAUCAGUUAGAAGAAGGCUGGAGAGUCCAGUAUUUUCUCUCCUGAGCGAUUUGUGGAAGUAAACUACGAAAGGCAAUCCAUGUAAUACUCAGCAGGCUAAUGUACACAUAAUACUCCCAGAUGUCAGAAGAAGAUACAGAGAAAGUGAAAAAUAGAACAACACAAAGCGUUGACAAUGACCAGCAAAAUACUUCCACAGUGCUGAAAGAAGACAGUUGUCCCAGCUCUCUUCCUCUACAAGUCCUCCCUAUCGUACUUCUGAAUCACACAGAUCAUUCAGGUAAGAUUUAAUUUGAAGAUACAGUAAUGUCAUUUGAUCCCUGAUAUAUCACAAUAUGUGGUGAUCCACAAACAGUAGAACAUGUUAAGAUUUAAGCAUGUCUUAGGAUACAGUAUAAUUUUGAAACAGUUUCAGUGGAGCAUUUUCAUGCCCAUUGCUUUUAAAUACAAAUUGCCAUGAGAACACACUCUACAUGAAUAGAAGUGAAGGUAGGGUUUAUACUGUACUCUCAAAAUAGGUUUAUAGGUCACAUGGUUGUUGUAACAAAGUUCCUAAGGCGUGAAAGCUUUUCUUGAUUGGUUCGAAGCUCAUCUGGCUCACAGGUUAAAAGUAGUCGCUGGAGGCCAAACCAAAUCCCCUGAAGUGUGGUUGGCU
RNAcentral lists this long non-coding RNA (804 nucleotides) under Pogona vitticeps (central bearded dragon). Its description in RNAcentral is "lncRNA (ENSPVIG00000015226.1)". Lineage: Eukaryota; Metazoa; Chordata; Lepidosauria; Squamata; Agamidae. The record is from RNAcentral.